RNAcentral lists this long non-coding RNA (950 nucleotides) under Laticauda laticaudata (blue-ringed sea krait). RNAcentral describes it as "lncRNA (ENSLLTG00000014081.1)". The record is from RNAcentral. Lineage: Eukaryota; Metazoa; Chordata; Lepidosauria; Squamata; Elapidae.
CAUUUAUCAUUUAUUUGCAAAAUUAAUCAUCAAAGAAGAGAUGAGUUGCAGCCGGGAAGGACAGCUUCCAAAUCUUCAAAAAGCCAGAAGACGUAAUUGUGUCACAUCAAAAACUCCCCCGUAACAGUCCUGUGCAGCAAAUUUAAUUUCCCUGCGUGGAAUGUACUCAGAUGAUUUCUAGUAAUUAGCUAUUAUUUAUUGGCAUUCUGAAUAUGUGUUUAGAUUCCUGCCCAGGUGUAAAAAUGUAUUAUUUACGCAGGAACCAACAGGCAACCACAAUCAGCAUUGGGUUUUGUUUUUUUUUCAGCCCUGGACAAGAAACUGCUUCUUAAAAUGCAUCUACAAACAGUCCUCGACUUAACGACCGUAAUUGAAGCCCCAAAUAUUCUGUUGUUAAGUGAGCGUUGUCCCAUUUUGCAGCCUUUCUUGCCUCGGUUGGUAAGCGAAUCGCUGGAGGACAUAAGUAAGCCGGGUCGUUAAGCCAGAGGGGAAUCACAUGACCUUGGGAUGCAGCAACUGUCAUAAGUAUGAACCCGUGGCCAAGCCUCUGGAUCUUUAUUCACGUGAUCGUGAGGCUCUUACCAAGGUCAUGUGAAAAAGUAUGAAAAAGUCACUUUUUUCCAGUGCCAUUGUAACUUUGAAAGGUCACUAAAUGAAACUAUUGUAAAUCAAGGAAUGCCUUGUACUUCCUUCUCCGGUGAAUUAAUUAUUGUUCUUCCUCUUGUUGUGUCCAGUCCCGUAGUUUCGUCACAGAGCUGCUCAAUUACAUUAAGAAUGCAAAAGUGGUCCUUUUGGAAGAUCUGGCUUCUCACCUGGGCCUCAGAACACAGGAUGCCAUCAACAGGGUGCAAGACCUGAUGGCAGACGGCACGCUCACAGGUGAGUGCCAACACCUGACGGGAUUUCCUGGUCUUGUAUAGGCCAAAGCAGAUGUCUCCACCGAGCCAUCU